RNAcentral lists this ribosomal RNA (421 nucleotides) under uncultured Glomeraceae. RNAcentral describes it as "SSU rRNA". It matches the Rfam family "Eukaryotic small subunit ribosomal RNA", at positions 459 to 886 of the family's 1831-position model. The record is from RNAcentral. Lineage: Eukaryota; Fungi; Glomeromycota; Glomeromycetes; Glomerales; Glomeraceae.
GGGAGGUAGUGACAAUAAAUAACAAUACGGGGUUCUUUCGGAUCUCGUAAUUGGAAUGAGUACAAUUUAAAUCUCUUAACGAGGAACAAUUGGAGGGCAAGUCUGGUGCCAGCAGCCGCGGUAAUUCCAGCUCCAAUAGCGUAUAUUAAAGUUGUUGCAGUUAAAAAGCUCGUAGUUGAAUUUCGGGGUCAGCAAGUUGGUCGUGCCACCGGUAUGCACUGGCUUUACUGAUUCCUCCUUCUUGACGAACCGUGAUGUCAUUAAUUUGGUGUUGCGGGAAAUCAGGACUGUUACUUUGAAAAAUCAGAGUGUUUAAAGCAGGCUAACGCUUGAAUACAUUAGCAUGGAAUAAUGAAAUAGGACGUUAAUCCUAUUUUGUUGGUUUCUAGGAUCGACGUAAUGAUUAAUAGGGAUAGUUGGG